GGGUCAGGGUUAGGGUUAGGGUGAGGUUACACUGAUUUAAAGGGUGAGUGUGUGUGUGAGGUUACACUGAUUUAAAGGGUGAGUGUGAGUGUGUGUGUGAGUGUGUGUGUGUGAGUGUGAGGUCACACUGAUUUAAAGGGUGAGUGUGUGUGAGUGUGAGUGUGUGUGUGUGUGAGGUUACACUGAUUUAAAGGGUUAGUGUGAGUGUGUGUGUGUGUGAGGUUACACUGAUUUAAAGGGUGAGUGUGUGUGUGAGGUUACACUGAUUUAAAGGGUGUGUGUGAGGUUACACUGAUUUAAAGGGUGAGUGUGAGUGUGUGUGUGAGGUUACACUGAUUUAAAGGGUGAGUGUGAGGUGGUCCACUGAGGCACUUAGAUGUUUCACACUUCUGUGUGUCGUCCUUGAUGAGUGUGUGCGAGAGAGAGAGUGUGUAUGUGUGUGUACAGGAGAUUUUAGCUUUGUGUGUGUGUGAGAGAGAGAAAAAGAGAAGGAGAGAGAGAGUGAGUGUGUGUUUGCACUUUUUGAAGUAUGAUCGGAACAUGAUAUGGUAUAACAUGAU
Molecule: long non-coding RNA, 560 nt
Organism: Clupea harengus (Atlantic herring)
Lineage: Eukaryota; Metazoa; Chordata; Actinopteri; Clupeiformes; Clupeidae
Source: Ensembl